AACGAACGUUGGCGGCGUGGAUUAGGCAUGCAAGUCGAGCGCGAACCCCGCAAGGGGUGAAAGCGGCGCAAGGGAGAGUAACGCGUUGGUAUCUACCCUCGGGACUGGGAUAGCUGCAGGCAACUGCAGGCAAUCCCAGAUGACGUCCCCGGACCAAAGGUGUGCGUCCGCCGGAGGAUGAGCCCGCGUCCUAUUAGAGAGUUGGUGGGGUAGUGGCCUACCAAGGCAAUGAUGGGUACUGGGUGUGAGAGCACGACCCAGCUCACUGGGACUGAGACACUGCCCAGACACCUACGGGUGGCUGCAGUGGAGAAUCUUCGGCAAUGGGCGAAAGCCUGACCGAGCGACGCCGCGUGUGGGAUGAAGGCCUUCGGGUUGUAAACCGCUGUCAGAGGGGAGGAAUGGGCGGAGGGUAAUCUCUUCGUUUUGACCUAUCCUCAGAGGAAGUACGGGCUAAGUUCGUGCCAGCAGCCGCCGUAA
Molecule: ribosomal RNA, 480 nt
Filed under: uncultured bacterium
Lineage: Bacteria
Description: partial 16S ribosomal RNA
Rfam family: Bacterial small subunit ribosomal RNA
Source: RNAcentral